RNAcentral lists this ribosomal RNA (468 nucleotides) under uncultured bacterium. RNAcentral's name for it is "partial 16S ribosomal RNA". It matches the Rfam family "Bacterial small subunit ribosomal RNA", at positions 28 to 507 of the family's 1533-position model. The record is from RNAcentral.
GACGAACGCUGGCGGCGUGCUUAACACAUGCAAGUCGAACGGAAAGGCCCUGCUUUUGUGGGGCGCUCGAGUGGCGAACGGGUGAGUAACACGUGAGUAACCUGCCCUUGACUUUGGGAUAACUUCAGGAAACUGGGGCUAAUACCGGAUAGGAGCUCCUGCUGCAUGGUGGGGGUUGGAAAGUUUCGGCGGUUGGGGAUGGACUCGCGGCUUAUCAGCUUGUUGGUGGGGUAGUGGCUUACCAAGGCUUUGACGGGUAGCCGGCCUGAGAGGGUGGCCGGCGACAUUGGGUCUGAGAUACGGCCAAGACUCCUACGGGAGGCAAGAGUGGGGAGUAGUGCACAAUGGGGGGGAGCCUGAUGUAGCGACGCCGGGUGCGGGAUAACGGGCUUCUGGGUGUAAACCACUUUCGCCGGUAACGAAGCGUGAGUGACGGUAAUGGGUAAGGAAGGACCGGCUAACUACGUG